This 254-nucleotide ribosomal RNA is filed under the name uncultured bacterium. RNAcentral describes it as "partial 16S ribosomal RNA". It matches the Rfam family "Bacterial small subunit ribosomal RNA", at positions 524 to 776 of the family's 1533-position model. The record is from RNAcentral.
UACGGGGGGAGCAAGCGUUGUUCGGAUUUACUGGGCGUAAAGGGCGCGUAGGCGGCCAGCACAAGUCAGUUGUGAAAUCUCCGAGCUUAACUCGGAAAGGUCAACUGAUACUGUGCGGCUAGAGUGCGGAAGGGGCAACUGGAAUUCUUGGUGUAGCGGUGAAAUGCGUAGAUAUCAAGAGGAACACCUGCGGCGAAGGCGACUACCUGGACCAGCACUGACACUGAGGCACGAAAGCGUGGGGAGCAAACAGG